GAUGAACGCUGGCGGCGUGCUUAACACAUGCAAGUCGAACGAAGCGCUUAAACGGAUUUCUUCGGAAUGAAGUUAUUGCGACUGAGUGGCGGACGGGUGAGUAACGCGUGGGUAACCUGCCUCAUACAGGGGGAUAACAGUUAGAAAUGACUGCUAAUACCGCAUAAGCGCACAGUACCGCAUGGUACCGUGUGAAAAACUCCGGUGGUAUGAGAUGGACCCGCGUCUGAUUAGCUAGUUGGUGGGGUAACGGCCUACCAAGGCGACGAUCAGUAGCCGACCUGAGAGGGUGACCGGCCACAUUGGGACUGAGACACGGCCCAAA
This 325-nucleotide ribosomal RNA is filed under the name uncultured bacterium. Its description in RNAcentral is "bacterial SSU rRNA". It matches the Rfam family "Bacterial small subunit ribosomal RNA", at positions 28 to 335 of the family's 1533-position model. The record is from RNAcentral.